GGGGGUGAAACGGAUUCGACGGGGAUAUGAAAGCUCAACGUUGCAUGCCGAGUCUUCUGUCAGCUCGUAAAAUAGACGGAAUCUUAAAUAUAAUCGCAGACGAUUAUAACUACGCAAUGGCAGCAUAGUCUGCUUUGCCGCUUCCCCGGUCCGCGCCCGUAAGGCCGGUGUGAAGCGUCGACUCCUCGGGCUGGUCAAACGGAUGCGCCUGCCGCCCGUUUGACGAGACUUCAGCAGGCUGGCAUUCGGCAAUCCCCUGUUCCGGGUGAGAGCCGAAUGUGAGAUUUAAACCUGGAACUAAGCAUGUAGAUACGUGAGGGGAGUAUUUUCGGACGCGGGUUCAACUCCCGCCACCUCCACCA
Molecule: transfer-messenger RNA, 362 nt
Filed under: Desulfobulbus sp.
Lineage: Bacteria; Pseudomonadati; Thermodesulfobacteriota; Desulfobulbia; Desulfobulbales; Desulfobulbaceae
Also listed under: 1 other name
Rfam family: transfer-messenger RNA
About the family: Bacterial tmRNA, also known as 10Sa RNA or SsrA, is named for its dual tRNA and mRNA-like properties. Its role is to liberate the mRNA from a stalled ribosome. To accomplish this part of the tmRNA is used as a reading frame that ends in a translation stop signal.
Source: RNAcentral